This 429-nucleotide ribosomal RNA is filed under the name Gemmatimonadota bacterium. RNAcentral describes it as "Gemmatimonadetes bacterium partial 16S ribosomal RNA". It matches the Rfam family "Bacterial small subunit ribosomal RNA", at positions 355 to 776 of the family's 1533-position model. The record is from RNAcentral. Lineage: Bacteria; Pseudomonadati; Gemmatimonadota.
UAGGGAAUCUUCGGCAAUAGACGAAAGUCUGACCGAGCAACGCCGCGUGAGUGAAGAAGGUUUUCGGAUCGUAAAACUCUGUUGUUAGAGAAGAACAAGGACGUUAGUAACUGAACGUCCCCUGACGGUAUCUAACCAGAAAGCCACGGCUAACUACGUGCCAGCAGCCGCGGUAAUACGUAGGUGGCAAGCGUUGUCCGGAUUUAUUGGGCGUAAAGCGAGCGCAGGCGGUUUCUUAAGUCUGAUGUGAAAGCCCCCGGCUCAACCGGGGAGGGUCAUUGGAAACUGGGAGACUUGAGUGCAGAAGAGGAGAGUGGAAUUCCAUGUGUAGCGGUGAAAUGCGUAGAUAUAUGGAGGAACACCAGUGGCGAAGGCGGCUCUCUGGUCUGUAACUGACGCUGAGGCUCGAAAGCGUGGGGAGCAAACAGG